GGCCAGACUCCUACGGGAGGCAGCAGUGGGGAAUAUUGGGCAAUGGGCGAAAGCCUGACCCAGCAACGCCGCGUGAAGGAAGAAGGCUUUCGGGUUGUAAACUUCUUUUGACAGGGAAGAGCAGAAGACGGUACCUGUCGAAUAAGCCACGGCUAACUACGUGCCAGCAGCCGCGGUAAUACGUAGGGAGCAAGCGUUGUCCGGAAUUACUGGGUGUAAAGGGAGCGUAGGCGGGAUGGCAAGUUGGGUGUUAAAUCUACCGGCUCAACUGGUAGUCGCACUCAAAACUGCUAUUCUUGAGUGAAGUAGAGGCAGGCGGAAUUCCUAGUGUAGCGGUGAAAUGCGUAGAUAUUAGGAGGAACACCAGUGGCGAAGGCGUCUUACUGGACCGAAACUGACGUUGAGGCUCGAAAGCGUGGGGAGCAAACAGGAUUAGAUACCCCAGUACUA
Molecule: ribosomal RNA, 450 nt
Filed under: uncultured bacterium
Lineage: Bacteria
Description: bacterial SSU rRNA
Rfam family: Bacterial small subunit ribosomal RNA
Source: RNAcentral